RNAcentral lists this ribosomal RNA (824 nucleotides) under uncultured bacterium. RNAcentral's name for it is "bacterial SSU rRNA". It matches the Rfam family "Bacterial small subunit ribosomal RNA", at positions 68 to 903 of the family's 1533-position model. The record is from RNAcentral.
UUGGAACGCGGCUUCGGCCAAGUGAAAAGAUGGAGAGCGUCGGACGGGUGAGUAACGCGUAGGCAACCUGCCCUUUGCAGAGGGAUAACCACUGGAAACGGUGAUUAAAACCUCAUAAAGCGGGAGAUUCACAUGGAUUUUCCGUCAAAGAUUUAUCGGCAAAGGAUGGGCCUGCGUCUGAUUAGCUGGUUGGUGGGGUAACGGCCUACCAAGGCAACGAUCAGUAGCCGACCUGAGAGGGUAAUCGGCCACAUUGGAACUGAGACACGGUCCAAACUCCUACGGGAGGCAGCAGUGGGGAAUAUUGCACAAUGGGGGAAACCCUGAUGCAGCAACGCCGCGUGAAGGAAGAAGGCCUUUGGGUCGUAAACUUCUGUCCUAAGGGAAGAUAAUGACGGUACCUUUGGAGGAAGCCCCGGCUAACUACGUGCCAGCAGCCGCGGUAAUACGUAGGGGGCGAGCGUUAUCCGGAAUUAUUGGGCGUAAAGAGUGCGUAGGCGGUUUUUUAAGCGCGGGGUGAAAGGCAAUGGCUUAACCAUUGUUAGCCCUGCGAACUGGGAGACUUGAGUGCAGGAGAGGAAAGCGGAAUUCCUAGUGUAGCGGUGAAAUGCGUAGAUAUUAGGAGGAACACCAGUGGCGAAGGCGGCUUUCUGGACUGUAACUGACGCUGAGGCACGAAAGUGUGGGGAGCAAACAGGAUUAGAUACCCUGGUAGUCCACACCGUAAACGAUGAGCACUAGGUGUCGGGGUCGCAAGACUUCGGUGCCGCAGUUAACGCAUUAAGUGCUCCGCCUGGGGAGUACGCACGCAAGUGUGAAACUCA